This 291-nucleotide unclassified non-coding RNA is filed under the name Basidiomycota sp. RNAcentral describes it as "partial contains small subunit ribosomal RNA, internal transcribed spacer 1, and 5.8S ribosomal RNA". The stretch from base 1 to 47 matches the Rfam family "Eukaryotic small subunit ribosomal RNA", at positions 1785 to 1831 of the family's 1831-position model. The record is from RNAcentral. Lineage: Eukaryota; Fungi; Basidiomycota.
AAAGUCGUAACAAGGUCUCCGUAGGUGAACCUGCGGAGGGAUCAUCAAAGAAAUAACAAUAUUCUAAACCCCAAGUGUUAGGGAAAGAAAGAGGGGGAAAGAGAGCAUUGCUAUUUUUCCUUCCUUCUUUCUUUUUCUAAUGCUUCAAACAAACGAUCACAACUAAAGAGAGAGGAAGGAAAUGGAUACUUGGUUUUUUUUGAAAGAAUAAGUGCUUGCCUGAUAAUCUGAUUAUUGGAAUUGGAAAGAGAAUAAAAUAUACAACUUUCAACAACGGAUCUCUUGGCUCUC